CCUACGGGCGGCAGCAGUGGGGAAUAUUGCACAAUGGGGGGAACCCUGAUGCAGCGACGCCGCGUGGGUGAAGGAGUAUUUCGGUAUGUAAAGCCCUAUCAGCAGGGAAGAACAAUGACGGUACCUGAGUAAGAAGCACCGGCGAAAUACGUGCCAGCAGCCGCGGUAAUACGUAUGGUGCAAGCGUUAUCCGGAUUUACUGGGUGUAAAGGGAGCGCAGGCGGCGCGUUAAGCCUGGUGUGAAAGCCCGCGGCCCAACCGCGGGACUGCAUUGGGAACUGGCGGGCUGGAGUGCCGGAGGGGUAGGCGGAAUUCCUGGUGUAGCGGUGAAAUGCGUAGAUAUUAGGAGGAACACCAGUGGCGAAGGCGGCCUACUGGACGGUGACUGACGCUGAGGCUCGAAAGCGUGGGGAGCAAACAGGAUUAGAUACCCGAGUAGUC
This 441-nucleotide ribosomal RNA is filed under the name uncultured bacterium. RNAcentral describes it as "partial 16S ribosomal RNA". It matches the Rfam family "Bacterial small subunit ribosomal RNA", at positions 338 to 795 of the family's 1533-position model. The record is from RNAcentral.